GCUUCAAGUGCUCCUUAUCAGUUAGGUGUAUCUCCUGUAAAAGGCUACAUCAACCCUCUCUUUUUUUCAGACUUGAUAAUAUCUUUUUCCUUUUUAUUGGCGAGUGGCUCCCUUUAACAUUCCAGGCGCACCAUUUAAACAAAUGACUAGCCACGAUCGCUCAAGAAAGUCCGAGACCCUCCAGGAGGAAGAUCCCCACACAACAGACAUUAAGUAAAAAUCGUAAACAAUUCACAUAAGUUUAAAAAAACAACCUUUACAAAACUACUAAAAAUUACUCCCAAAAAAUAAUGACAUAAAACAUAGCUAAGAAGGGAUUGUCCCCCUUGUCCUACAAUCCAAUAGUCCCACCAUAACUCCUUCCAGCUGGAGCUAUGCCCUUGUCCCAGACAUCGCAAAAUAAAAUUAACAAAUACCAAUGUCUUAUAACAAGGAAAUUAAAAGUGGGCAUCCAGCCCAUUCCCUCCAUAUUAUUAUCCUAGGCAUUCUUAACAAAGCAGCAACAUGAAAACAUAUAUAUAAAAUUACAAUCCCAGAAAAUAUUCAAGGAAAACUCAAAAAAGCUUUGAAAACACCCCCCAGCAACCAGAUAAGCCAAGCAAAUUAUAAAUAAAAGUUAAAAGACAAGCCUCCCAGGAAAAGAUAAGAGGAAAAAAGGGGGAAGGAGGAGACAAAAGAGGGAGGUAAAGAAGAAAAAUAAUUAUCCAUAUAAUUCAAAUUCUUCAGUCUAUUUAAGAGCAUCCAAGACGUCUUUUGCUUUUUCUGGUGAACCGAAGUUCUACACAAACCCUCCAUGACUGAGGCGAAGUGUUGCUGGUUGUCUCAAGGAGUACUGAAUAUUUAAAUCCUUCAAAUGCUUCUUCACCUCAUCAAAGGCCUUCCUCUUACGUACCACAACAAGAGUGAAGUCCUGGAACAGCAUUAUAUUGGAUCAUUUAUAUAUCAUAGCUUGGGGAUCCUUCCCCAAAGCUCUGGAGGCCUCUAGCAGCAUUUGCUUGUCCCUGUAGUGCUGGAGUCGCACUAGGACCAGGCGGGGGCGCUGGCCCGACCCGGGCCUGCAAUCAGCAACCCAGUGAGCCCACUCAACCCGCACAUGGCCCAGCCCCGACUCCAGCUUCAGCAGUUCUGGGAGCCAUUGCUCCAAAAAAAUCCACAAGCUGGCCUUCCUCCUCCUGUUCGGUAAGGCCCAACUUCAAACAUUCUUCCGAUGACCUCGAAAAUCGUGGCAUGUUGCUCCGCCCCUCCAACAAGCUGCCCGAGUUUCUCGAUCUCCCACCUGGACCGGGUUUCUUCCAAUGAAGCAUCAAUCUUCUCUCGGAGCUUGAUAAACUCCGAGAUCAGGCUCACCUCUGCAGCACCUCCAUAUUGAACAUCACCUGUCAACUAUGAAACACCUCUGUGGGAUUUGAAACUAGAACAUUGUGGCCAGAGAUAGAGACACCACCAUCACUCAGCAAUAGCCCUGGAAAGCUGCAAUAUUAUUCUCCUGUGUGUUUGUUCAUCAGCCUGUUCUGACAUGCUGUGGCACACCUCCACAACAGUCUGAUAGCCAAUAGCUAAAGGAACUUGAUGUUGAAUUCAAUUAGUCAAUUCAUUAUGACUACAAACAUGAACCUGGCACUGAAAUUCAUACCCAACAUGGCUGAAUCAUUUGAAUCAUGAAUGGACUGAACACUGUACAAUUAAGUGAGAAUAACCCUGCCGGUGACUUUAAAAUGAAAGCAAGAUUAUUGAUGAAGCAAUUGAAAAUAGUUGGGCUGAGGAUACAUCAUGAGAGAGAACUUCAUUGAUGCUCAGGGUUUGAGAUGAUUGACUACGAGCUAAAUUGACCUCCGAAUAACACCUUCAUUGUAUAGAAACCACAGAAGACAGUUGAACAGGUACAAAAUAUAAUCAACAUGUCUAAUAGAAUGUUUUUGCUAUCUCAAGCUGACUGGACUUAUAAAAAUAUAUUGUGCUUAGAAGUGAUACAGUGCAGAUUAAGCAGAUUUUUAUGUCAGAAAUAAAAGUUUUAAAUUUUGCAGACAGGCUGCAAAAUCUGGCUCGUCUUUUAAUUUAAUUGGAUAUGGUGGUCUAACCAAGAUACAGGUCAUUCUGCUAUAAUGUGCAUUUCGUUAACAUGAAUUCACUGUAACACAAUUGACGAAUUAGAGGCACUG
Molecule: non-coding RNA, 2159 nt
Organism: Chiloscyllium plagiosum (whitespotted bambooshark)
Lineage: Eukaryota; Metazoa; Chordata; Chondrichthyes; Orectolobiformes; Hemiscylliidae
Source: RefSeq, a predicted model, not a curated record